CACUCCUGCGGGAGGCAGCAGUGGGGAAUAUUGGACAAUGGGCGCAAGCCUGAUCCAGCCAUGCCGCGUGAGUGAUGAAGGCCCUAGGGUUGUAAAGCUCUUUCACCGGUGAAGAUAAUGACGGUAACCGGAGAAGAAGCCCCGGCUAACUUCGUGCCAGCAGCCGCGGUAAUACGAAGGGGGCUAGCGUUGUUCGGAUUUACUGGGCGUAAAGCGCACGUAGGCGGACUAUCAAGUCAGGGGUGAAAUCCCGGGGCUCAACCCCGGAACUGCCUUUGAUACUGGUAGUCUUGAGUUCGAGAGAGGUGAGUGGAAUUCCGGGUGUAGAGGUGAAAUUCGUAGAUAUUCAGAGGAACACCAGUGGCGAAGGCGGCUCACUGGCUCGAUACUGACGCUGAGGUGCGAAAGCGUGGGGAGCAAACAGGAUUAGAAACCCUGGUAGUCCCAUG
Molecule: ribosomal RNA, 449 nt
Filed under: uncultured organism
Description: partial 16S ribosomal RNA
Rfam family: Bacterial small subunit ribosomal RNA
Source: RNAcentral